Molecule: ribosomal RNA, 464 nt
Filed under: uncultured bacterium
Lineage: Bacteria
Description: partial 16S ribosomal RNA
Rfam family: Bacterial small subunit ribosomal RNA
Source: RNAcentral
CUACGGGAGGCAGCAGUGGGGAAUAUUGCACAAUGGGCGCAAGCCUGAUGCAGCCAUGCCGCGUGUAUGAAGAAGGCCUUCGGGUUGUAAAGUACUUUCAGCGGGGAGGAAGGGAGUAAAGUUAAUACCUUUGCUCAUUGACGUUACCCGCAGAAGAAGCACCGGCUAACUCCGUGCCAGCAGCCGCGGUAAUACGGAGGGUGCAAGCGUUAAUCGGAAUUACUGGGCGUAAAGCGCACGCAGGCGGUUUGUUAAGUCAGAUGUGAAAUCCCCGGGCUCAACCUGGGAACUGCAUCUGAUACUGGCAAGCUUGAGUCUCGUAGAGGGGGGUAGAAUUCCAGGUGUAGCGGUGAAAUGCGUAGAGAUCUGGAGGAAUACCGGUGGCGAAGGCGGCCCCCUGGACGAAGACUGACGCUCAGGUGCGAAAGCGUGGGAAGCAAACAGGAUUAGAUACCCGCGUAGUC